CCUACGGGGGGCAGCAGUGGGGGAUAUUGCACAAUGGGCGAAAGCCUGAUGCAGCAACGCCGCGUGAACGAUGAAGGUCUUCGGAUCGUAAAGUUCUGUUGCAGGGGAAGAUAAUGACGGUACCCUGUGAGGAAGCACCGGCUAACUACGUGCCAGCAGCCGCGGUAAUACGUAGGGUGCUAGCGUUAUCCGGAUUUACUGGGCGUAAAGGGUGCGUAGGUGGUCUUUCAAGUCGGUGGUUAAAGGCUACGGCUCAACCGUAUUAAGCCGCCGAAACUGGAAGACUUGAGUGCAGGAGAGGAAAGUGGAAUUCUCAGUGUAGCGGUGAAAUGCGUAGAUAUUGGGAAGAACACCAGUAGCGAAGGCGGCUUUCUGGACUGCAACUGACACUGAGGCACGAAAGCGUGGGUAGCAAACAGGAUUAGAUACCCU
This 432-nucleotide ribosomal RNA is filed under the name uncultured bacterium. Its description in RNAcentral is "bacterial SSU rRNA". It matches the Rfam family "Bacterial small subunit ribosomal RNA", at positions 338 to 788 of the family's 1533-position model. The record is from RNAcentral.